CCUGCCCCUAGAGAUGUUGUCGAUGUGGCUGCUGUGUCCUUUAUGUGUCGGUAGGUGGCAGAGAAGAGAGAGUCUGUCUAUGCUCAGUGUUCUGACCUGAUUAGCCUACCAUU
This 113-nucleotide small nucleolar RNA is filed under the name Meriones unguiculatus (Mongolian gerbil). Its description in RNAcentral is "Small nucleolar RNA SNORA17 (ENSMUGG00000024207.1)". It matches the Rfam family "Small nucleolar RNA SNORA17". From Rfam's summary of the family: snoRNA ACA 17 belongs to the H/ACA family of snoRNAs and is predicted to guide pseudouridylation of the 28S rRNA at positions U4659 and U4598. The record is from RNAcentral. Lineage: Eukaryota; Metazoa; Chordata; Mammalia; Rodentia; Muridae.